Molecule: ribosomal RNA, 308 nt
Filed under: Sergentomyia khawi
Lineage: Eukaryota; Metazoa; Arthropoda; Insecta; Diptera; Psychodidae
Description: SSU rRNA
Rfam family: Eukaryotic small subunit ribosomal RNA
Source: RNAcentral
AAGGCUCAGUAUAACAGCUAUUAUUUAUUUGAUCGUAAACAUAGUUACUUGGAUAACUGUGGUAAUUCCAGAGCUAAUACAUGCAAACAACAUGGAUCCCUGUAGCAAUAUGGGUGAAACAUGUGCUUUUAUUAGAUUAAAACCAUGUCCAUCUUGUAUGGAUUUGUUUUAGAUGAAUCUGGAUAAUUAUGGCUGAUCGUAUGGUCUUGCACCGACGAUAGAUCAUUCAAAUGUCUGCCCUAUCAACUAUUGAUGGUAGUAUAGAGGACUACCAUGGUUGCAACGGGUAACGGGGAAUCAGGGUUCGA